RNAcentral lists this ribosomal RNA (484 nucleotides) under uncultured bacterium. RNAcentral describes it as "partial 16S ribosomal RNA". It matches the Rfam family "Bacterial small subunit ribosomal RNA", at positions 30 to 507 of the family's 1533-position model. The record is from RNAcentral.
AUUGAACGCUGGCGGCAGGCCUAACACAUGCAAGUCGAGCGGCUGCAGGGAGCUUGCUCCUGGAUUCAGCGGCGGACGGGUGAGUAAUGCCUAGGAAUCUGCCUGGUAGUGGGGGAUAACGUCCGGACACGGGCGCUAAUACCCCAUACGUCCUGAGGGAGAAAGUGGGGGAUCUUCGGACCUCACGCUAUCAGAUGAGCCUAGGUCGGAUUAGCUAGUUGGUGGGGUAAAGGCCUACCAAGGCGACGAUCCGUAACUGGUCUGAGAGGAUGACCAGUCACACUGGAACUGAGACACGGUCCAGACUCCUACGGGAGGCAGCAGUGGGGAAUAUUGGACAAUGGGCGAAAGCCUGAUCCAGCCAUGCCGCGUGUGUGAAGAAGGUCUUCGGAUUGUAAAGCACUUUAAUUGGGGAGGAAGGGCAGUAAGUUAAUACCUUGCUGUUUUGACGUUACCAACAGAAUAAGCACCGGCUAACUUCGUG